Molecule: unclassified non-coding RNA, 329 nt
Filed under: plant metagenome
Description: partial contains 5.8S ribosomal RNA, internal transcribed spacer 2, and large subunit ribosomal RNA
Rfam family: 5.8S ribosomal RNA (bases 1-105)
Source: RNAcentral
GAAAUGCGAUAAGUAAUGUGAAUUGCAGAAUUCCGUGAAUCAUCGAAUCUUUGAACGCACAUUGCGCCCUCUGGUACUCCGGGGGGCAUGCCUGUCCGAGCGUCAUUGCGAACCCCUCAAGCACGGCUUGUGUGAUGGGCCCUCCCGCGUCUUGGUCGUCAAGACGGGCCCGAAAAGCAGUGGCGGCUUCGCGGUUAUCCGAUCAGCCAGAGCGUAUGGGGACUUUCUCUCUGUCACACGCCCGCGGCGCUGACCGACGCCUGUCGACCUUUAUUCAUCUUUUUCUCGGUUGACCUCGGAUCAGGUAGGGAUACCCGCUGAACUUAAGC